Molecule: non-coding RNA, 73 nt
Organism: Paramuricea clavata
Lineage: Eukaryota; Metazoa; Cnidaria; Anthozoa; Malacalcyonacea; Plexauridae
Source: the annotation of a GenBank genome assembly
GACCGCGUAGCUCAGUUGGAAGAGCAUUGGGCAAGUGUUCCAAAGGUCGUAGGUUCGAAUCCCACCGUGGCCG